UCUUUUAUAUUUUCCAGACAAGGGUCAGUAAUCACGGAAACACAGCUAGCUUUCAACUCCACACAAGCUAUUCCAACUGUUCAAGAGAUUUCAGACACCCUCUUUACAGCAGUGAUAAACGGAAGUGUCAACCCACUGAACAUAACUCCUUAUUCAAUUUCAGUCAACGGUUCGAUUAUAAACGUGACUACUUCAACUACAGCAUCAACAACAACAACAGCAAUGACGAUGACAACAACAAGAACAACAACAACCACACCGACAACAACUACAAGAGCCUUGACAUCUACAACUAAAGUGCCUGCAACUAAAACUACACAAUUUGUACCUGUGUAUCUAACAGCUCUGGUGUUCCGCUCUUUAGACAUAUUCAUAACUGAACUCAGUAAUCAAAGCUCUCAGGCCUUCAAGUCAAGAUCUGAGCUUGUCAGAUCUCAGCUCGAACCCAUCUACAGAGCAAAAUAUCCUUCCUUUAUCAGAGUGAUUGUCUUAAGUUUCCGUCCUGGGUCAAUCAUCACAGAAACUCAACUAGUUUUUAACUCCACACAACCUGUUCCAACCGUUCAAGAGAUUUCAGACUCCCUCCUGUCAGCAGUGGUAACAGGAGGUGUCGAUCCACUGAACAUAAUCCCUUCAACAGUUUCAGUCAAUGGUUCAGUUAUAGCUACGACUGUUGCUGCAACUACAGCUUCAAGUGGACUGAAGAUUGAAUCCAGCCUGCUCCAAGCAACAUGGCUCAUUAUUAUGGCAAAAAUAUUACAGUUUUUCCUAUAGAUCUCUUAACAAUGAAUGUGAGUUGCGAGAAAUGAAAGGCAUGUGCCAGGCACACAAUUAUAUUAUCAAAUUAUAUUAUUUUUGUAUGUGUGUUUGUGUAUUGUGGUAUUAAGUAUUGUAGCACACUCUUGAAAUAUGGCAAUGGCAAAAUAAGCAUAAGCCUGAAAUUGCAUUGAUUCUAAGGAGCACAAUUUGUAAUUAGAAAAAAUAAUAUAUGUAUAUUUAUUUAUCAGCAGGUUGUAGUAAUCAAUCAAAUAAGGAAAAUUCCUAUUUCCUAUUCAGUAUUUUAAAUGUAAUGCUUUUGUUCACUUGUCUGCAGGUUAAAGACUAUUUAAACUGUAAUUCUCUUUUGUCUAGUAUGUGCUAAUAUCGCAAGAACUUAUUUAAUCUUAUUAUAAUCAAAUAAACAUAUUUAUUAAGUUCA
This is a long non-coding RNA of Cyprinus carpio (common carp), 1198 nucleotides long. Lineage: Eukaryota; Metazoa; Chordata; Actinopteri; Cypriniformes; Cyprinidae. The record is from Ensembl.